This is a non-coding RNA of Podarcis lilfordi (Lilford's wall lizard), 1338 nucleotides long. The record is from the annotation of a GenBank genome assembly. NCBI's taxonomy places the organism in Eukaryota, Metazoa, Chordata, Lepidosauria, Squamata, Lacertidae.
GCUUGGCCGAGGCCGGGCCCAGGCUUAAGUAAGGCCCCGCUGGAGCGCGGUCGGAAGCCUCCGCCUGCGGGAUGCGGCGCGCACGCAGCCGAGGGGAGAGGAAGCGGGUCGCUGGCAACCCUUGCAAUGGCUUAGUUGCUCCUUCCGAAGCGGCAGCCCCGAGUCUAUGCGGGCUUACUCAGAAGGAAGCCUCCCCUGGCACACACGCAUAUAUACGGAGAGGGUCGCCGGUUCUCCCAUCGUGGUCUAGCCUAACCCAGCGGGGGCUUCCUUUUGAGCAAGCACGGGUGUAUUUACAGUACACACAGAGAGAGCCGGUGCAAGGCUGUUUUGCGCCCAAGGCAAGGCUAACUGCUCGCACCCCCUCAUACUGGUAACCUCAGUUUUCAAAAACAGAUGUCUUGUAGGAGAAAUGAAAAUAUUAUCAGAAAGUUGUAACAAAAACUAAUUUGUAUAAAGCUGGCUCUCAAAUGUCAGUACUGCACCUCUCUGAGGUCUGCACCCUAGGCGGGUGCUCAGCAACAAAAAUAAAAUCAGUUUAAAACUAUGCAGUCGCAGGUGUCUGUUGCUGGACUCGUCUUACCAGCGCCAGCCAGCCCUGUCUGUGAAUUUGAAAUGGUGGGAGUUGCAGCUCAGUAACAUCUGGAGACCUGCAGAUCCCAUGCUCCUGAAUUAGGCUUGAGACCAAGAGGGCCUAGAUUUGAAGCCUUGCAAUCUUAUGCCUUUGUUUACUCUGCAUUUAAUCUGUAAAAUUUAUUCCUUUUUAUUGUGACAAUAUUUACUUCUCAAACAAGGUCUUCUGGACUCUACACAAAACCAUUGAAAAGUGCACUCAGAGCAUGUAUCUUCUCUGCUGAUAGGGUUUAGCUUGCUUCUGGGUUUUGUAUAUGCACGUAUGUGAGAGCUUAUCUUCAUUUAUUUAUGUAAAUGGUUUAGUUGCUAACAUUACUGCAAAUACUGAUGGCAAAUAAACAGUUGUGUUGUGUCGGUAUUAUUAUUAGCACUCUUAGCAUCAUACGGUAACUCUUUCGAGGAUAGACAUGCUAGUCUCUUGCAGCAAAGACUAACACAUUCAUAAUGGCAGAAGAUUUCACUGAGUACAGUCGUCAUUCUAGUAGCCACCUACAUCCCCCCACAAACUAUUUCAGGCUUGGUAUUUUGCAGGUGGGAUUAAGUUGCAUAUUCACAAACUGAGGUUCUACCAUUAAAGCUAUUGGAAAGGAUGAAACUCCAAGGAUUCCCACUAUAUUGUUACAGAGGGGCUUAUUUUGGACUUAGAAAUCAUCAACUGAUCUUAAUAAUAAGUAUAUGGACUAGAUCAGGUGUGGGGAAUCUUUG